This 1414-nucleotide ribosomal RNA is filed under the name metagenome. RNAcentral describes it as "bacterial LSU rRNA". It matches the Rfam family "Bacterial large subunit ribosomal RNA", at positions 1472 to 2873 of the family's 2925-position model. The record is from RNAcentral.
UCUGAGAAGGUUAGGUCAGCCAUCUGUUGGAAUAGGUGGUUUAAGCGUGUAGGUGUGCCCCUAGGCAAAUCCGGGGGGCUUAGCUGAGGCGUGACGACGAGGUGCUACGGCACUGAAGUGAUUGAUACCAAGCUUCCAGGAAAAGCCACUAAGCUUCAGUCUAGAAUUGACCGUACCGCAAACCGACACAGGUGGGCAGGAUGAAAAUUCUAAGGCGCUUGAGAGAACUCAGGAGAAGGAACUCGGCAAAUUAACACCGUAACUUCGGGAGAAGGUGUGCCCCGGUAGGUUGUAGAGCUUCGCGCUCGAAGGCCGAUGGGGUUGCAGUGAAAUGGUGGCUGCGACUGUUUAAUAAAAACACAGCUCUCUGCAAACACGAAAGUGGACGUAUAGGGAGUGACGCCUGCCCGGUGCCGGAAGGUUAAUUGAUGGGGUGCGAGCUCUUGAUCGAAGCCCCGGUAAACGGCGGCCGUAACAAUAACGGUCCUAAGGUAGCGAAAUUCCUUGUCGGGUAAGUUCCGACCUGCACGAAUGGCGUAACGAUGGCCACACUGUCUCCUCCUGAGACUCAGCGAAGUUGAAAUGUUUGUGAAGAUGCAAUCUCCCCGCGGCAAGACGGAAAGACCCCAUGAACCUUUACUGUAGCUUUGCAUUGGACUUUGAACCGGUCUGUGUAGGAUAGGUGGGAGACUAUGAAACCGGGACGCUAGUCUCGGUGGAGUCAACCUUGAAAUACCACCCUGGUUUGUUUGAGGUUCUAACCUUGAUCCGUGAAUCCGGAUCGGGGACCGUGCAUGGUGGGCAGUUUGACUGGGGCGGUCUCCUCCCAAAAGGUAACGGAGGAGUACGAAGGUACGCUUAGGGCGGUCGGACAUCGCCCAUAAAGUGCAAUGGCAAAAGCGUGCUUGACUGCGAGACCCACAAGUCGAGCAGGUGCGAAAGCAGGUCAUAGUGAUCCGGUGGUUCUGUAUGGAAGGGCCAUCGCUCAACGGAUAAAAGGUACUCUGGGGAUAACAGGCUUAUACCGCCCAAGAGUUCAUAUCGACGGCGGUGUUUGGCACCUCGAUGUCGGCUCAUCUCAUCCUGGGGCUGUAGCCGGUCCCAAGGGUAUGGCUGUUCGCCAUUUAAAGAGGUACGUGAGCUGGGUUUAAGACGUCGUGAGACAGUUUGGUCCCUAUCUGCCGUGGGCGCUGGAAAUUUGAAGGGGGCUGCUCCUAGUACGAGAGGACCGGAGUGGACGAACCUCUGGUGUACCGGUUAUGACGCCAGUCGUAUCGCCGGGUAGCUAUGUUCGGAAGAGAUAAACGCUGAAAGCAUCUAAGCGUGAAACUCGCCUUAAGAUAAGAUUUCCCGGAGUCUUGAACUCCUUAAAGGGUCGUCGAAGACCACGACGUUGAUAGGUCAGGUGUGGAAG